CUCAUAAUAAUUAAUUGCUAAAACAAACUUGAAGAUUCAAUGUUGACACUAAGCAAAAAUUACUCAAAAUGGUAAAAGAAAGGAGUUCAUGAGCGGAGCUCUACGUCCAAAACUAUAUGAUGACCUAAAAAUGGGAAAAGAAACUAUUUAUACUAGGCUGAAAAUUCUAAACAAAAAUACCCUCGGGGAGGCUAAUGCAGACUACUCAAAAUCUAGUGCCGCUGCACUAAGGCUCUUGGCUUUACUUUUUUGCUCUCUGAAGUUGGCCACUGCAGACCGCACAAAAUGCACCGCGGUCGCGGUGGCUUCUAUUGUGGUUUGCACAAAAUAGAUCAGGGACCGCAUUGGGCACAAUCCUCUAAUUGUCAUCUCUCUGAACUUUGGCUCUACGGACCGCACGAAAUCUAGUGCAACCGCAAUGAACCCAAUGCGGAUCGCACAAAACCCUUUGCGGCCGCAUAGUCUGGUGGCCUGAAAAGCAUAGUCUCCGAACUUCAUCUUUGUGGACCGCACAAAAUGGUGUGCAGCCACAAUGGCCCUAUUUAACUGAGCUUGAUCUUGUCUUAGUACUUUUGCAAGUUUCACUUCUUUUUGAGUUGGUUUUUGACACCUUGUCACUUUGUUUAUCAAACCUGCAAUCAAGCACAAGUUGUGAGCCUUUGGGACUAUUUUUUACAUAUUUCUAAUCAAAAUGUAAGCAAGAAGGAGUGUAACAUACACCAUAAUUCCUAGUUAUCGCACCUACUUAUGAAAUCUAGGCAAGCCGAGAGUUACAAAUUAUACCCUUUUUACUUAGCCUUUUGAUACUUCAAUAUAACAGCGAUCAACAUCGGAAUAACCAUAAUAAUAAAAUAAAUGCGGAAGACAAAAUUUUUUGAUACUAUCACUAAAUACUAAUACGGAAGUCCAAAAUACAACUCUAUCCAAAAUUGGUGUCGCAAUGUCACGGACUAUCUACGAAUACUAUAAAUAGCGGUCUGAAAGAUAAAUAUAAAUCUGUCUCUGAAAUACAUAAAAGAAAAACAACGGAAAGAUAGAGGGAGACGCUAAUGCCCGCGGAUGUCUGCAGGACUACUCGGGUCUCCGCCUCUGGACUGAAGGCACAACCUCACUAUUGUCCAAAAGCUCUAGCACCGGCAUCUGCACACAAUACAGAGUAUAGUAUCAUCAAAACUAAUCCCAUGUGCUGGUAGGUGUUGAGAAUAACCUCGGUAAAGUAGUGACGAGGCUAGGACAAGACUACCAAAUAAAUCUUUGUAGUUAUAUCAUAUACUACAAAUAAUAACAACAAAAACUAACAGUUAAAGAUGAGAAUAGGAAAACAUGCUUAGAGGAAUAUCAUGUACAAUAGAAAUUCGGUAAAGAAACAUGCGGAACAUAAAAAUUCAACAACAAACAAGAAUAAGGAGAACAAUAACAAGUGCAUGGCAUCACCCUUCAUGCUUUCACUCUCGUUCUCACUAUAAGAAUCAAUAUAUUAGGCACGGCAUCACUCUUAGUUCUUUUACCUAACAUAAUAAUGGCACGACAUUUUUGUUCAUGCAUUAUCACUCAUAUCUGGCACGACAUCACCCUUUAUGCUUUUACAAUCACAAUAUCGGCACAUAAUCACCCUUCGUGCUUUUACAAUUACAAUAUUCGCACGGCAUCACACUUCGUGCAUUAACACGCACUCACAAAUAUCACAUACGACAUCAUCCUUCGUGCUUUUACACCUUUCCUUACUCAAGCAACAAUCACAAAGCAACUUAGGUAAAGGAAUCAAUAAAAUAACAAUAUAAUCUCGGUAAGGGAACAAUAUUAUAAUAAUAAUAUCCCGACAAGGGAAACAAUAUCAAAAGCAACAACAUCCCCGACAAAUGAGACAAUAUCAUAAACCUCUCUUUCACAAUUUCUGCGUAACUCAAUUCUCAACUUGAGUCAACGCUCUACAAUGUUCAAUUACCAAGAAUACUAUAAGCCUUGUUCAAUAUCAGAAAUCAUCAUAUUAAGCAUGAAUGAUACAAAAUGGAGUCACAUUAAUCAUAGUAUAAGAAUUACUGGCAUGCUUGACACUGACGUAUAGAUACUCAUCACUAUACCUAUAUGUCAUACUCAACAAUUAACACAUAGCAAAUAAGACCAAGGCCCAUAUUGCCCUCAUGCUAAGGUUAGACCAAACACUUACCUCAAUGUCACGAAUACAAUCAAGCCUCAACUACCGCUUUACCCCUCGAUUCCACCACCAUCUGCCUGUAUCCACGAUUUACUUAACGAUAUCAAUAAAUGCUAAAUGAAUCAAUUCUAUUCCAUGAAGAUAGAUUUUUUAAUAUUUUUCCUUAAAAAGUCAAAGAUCGACCCCGGGACCACAUGAUCAAAACCCGAGGUUCGAACCAAAACCAGACCACUCAUUCAUCCACAAAAUUCAAAUAUAUAAUUUGUUAUGAAAUCAGAUCUCAAUCGAGGCCCAAAUCCCCAUAAUUUGAAAAUCUUAAGUCCAAUCCAGAAACACCCAUUUUUCUUAUAAAAACCCUUGAUUUUGAAUUGAAAUAAUGUGAAAAGAUGUUAUAGAUUGAAGAAAAUAAGUUAGAAAUGGUUUACAAUUAAUUUGGAGAAGAACUUUUCUUUAGAAAAUCGCCCAAGAGAGCUUAAGGUUUGAGAGAAUUCAGAAAAUGAAGAAAUUUCGUCUAAGUUAUAAUUUGCACAGGUGCAGAUGUCACAUUUACAAAGUCAGGUUCACAAACGAGACCCGGGCUUGGCAAAUGCGAAGGUAGGACUACCCCUACUUUCUUCGCAAAUGCGAACAACCGUUCGCAAUUGCAAUACUUGCUAAGGUCGCAUUUGCAAUAUUGAGCCCCUUAAAUGCGAAGGUCUCCCUGCCUAGCCCAUUUUCACAAUUGCGAUGUUUCUUCGCAAAUGCGAGCUUGUAUUUGCGAUCCAGGCUUCACAAUUGCUAAGCCUGCAAAUCUGCAACACAGUAGUAGUUUCCCAAAGUCUAAUUUUCACUCUUUGCCUAUCCAAAACAAACCCGAGCUCUCGGGACUCCAAACCAAACAUGCACGCUAGCCCAAAAACAUCAUACAUACUUGCUCGUAUGAUCAAAUCAUCAAAAUAACAUAAACAAUUAUGGAUUAAACCUCAAAUUCAUGAAAUCACUCAAGAACAUCAAAAUUUUUAUUUUCUCAAAUAAAGGUCCGAUUUAUACUAAACGAACUCCGAUUCUUAUCAAACUUCACAGAUUCAACUUAAUUGUUAUAUAUGACAUGUAAUAGGCUUCAGAACCAAAAUAUGAGCCCGAUACCAUUUCAAAUAUCUUUACAUUUUCAAAAACUCUUAUAAUUUUCAGUUAAACAAUUUCUUUCAAAAUUUUAUUUCUCGGGCUUGGGACUUCGGAAUUUGAUUAUGGGCAUACACCCAAGUCCCAUAUUUUACUACGAAUCCUACAAGAUCGUUGGAUCACGGGCCCGGGUCCAUUUACCAAGAAUGUUGACCGAAGUCAGCUUUACUCAAUUUUUAAAAGCCAAUUUCCUCAUUUUACUUAGUUUUCACAUAAAAGCUUUCCGAAAACGUGCUCAGAUUGAGCACACAAAUCCAGGUGAGACAAAAAGAGAUUUAUAAGGACUCGGAAUAUAGAAUUUACUUUAAAAACAAGUCCAAUUCAUUUCAAGGAUUUCAUCUGCAAUAACAUUUUUCUCACUCAGCUCACUAAUUCUUGUUAAACACAACCUACUAAGCCUUAUGUUUACUCUUUUGGAGCUAUAUCACCACAUAAUCAACACAUCAUGAAGUCCAUUUCAGAAAUAUAAGAGCCUAUUAGUUAUUCUCAAGCUUCUAUGCAUCCUGGUUGGCAAAAAGCCAUGGACUCAUAAAUUGAAACUCUACAAGCAAACCGUACUUGGGAUGUGGUACUAUUACCUAAAGAAAAGAAGGCAUUGCCUUGCAAAUGGGUUUACAAAGUCAAGCAUAAAUCAGAUGGUUCGGUAGAGAGACUCAAGGCUAGAUUAGUAGUUGGGGGACACACUCAAAGGGAAGGAAUAGAUUAUACAGAGACUUUCUCACCAAUGGUCAGAAUGAUCAUUAUAAGAUCUUUGAUGGUAGUAGCAGCAAAGAAGGACUGACCAAUCUAUCAGCUUGAUGUAAGCAAUGCUUUCUUAUAUGGGGAUUUAUAAGAGGAAGUCUACAUGAAAUUUCCCCCUGAAAUGUCUUCCCUAAGCCAUAACCAUGUUUGUCUACUCAAAAAAUCUCUAUAUGGCUUAAAGCAAGCUUCACGAAAGCGGUAUGCUCGGCUUGCAGGUGCAUUAGGUUUCAAAGGCAAUUCUUCCUUUAUGAAUGACUAUUCCUUACUCUUUAAACAUGGCGGGAAUCUAACUUCUAUUGUGGCAGUGUAUGUCCAUGACAUUCUUUCAUUGGUAAUGAUUCUCAAGAAAUUUCAGCACUUAAAUCAUUUUUUAGUACAUAAUACAAAUUAAAGAUUUGGGAAAUUCAUAUUAUUUCCUAGGGAUGGAAAUUCUCAGAGAAUCGCAAGGAAUUAUUUUGUGUCAAAGGAAAUUUACCUUAGACUUAUUGCAUGAAUUUGAUAUCUUGAAUUCACCAUGUGUUUUUUCCCCUCUUGAACCAUCUUCAAAGCUCAGUGCUGAUGAAGGACCUCUGAUCUCCAAUCCUACUGUAUACCGACGUCUUGUUGGGAAGAUGAAUUAUCUCACUCACACUAGACCAGACUUAUCCUUUGUUGCACUUAAACUCAACCAAUAUAUACAAAGUUCUCGUCUUUCUCAUUAGUCGGCAGCCAUUCGAGUGCUAAGAUACUUCCGUUCAAAUCCCAGGCAAUGGAUAAUUUUGAACUCAGAUCCCUCUCUUAAGCUUGUGGCUUUUUGUGAUGCCGAUUGGGAUUCUUGUCCUGAAUCUCGACACUCUAUCAGUGGGUUUUACAUUGCUCUGAGAAGGUCACCCAUUCCAUGGAAAUCCAAGAAACAUGCUUCAAUUGCUUUGUCUCCCGCUGAAGCAUAAAAUAGAUCCGUGCAUAGGGUUGUUGCUGAACAUGGCUCACUCGAUUGCUUGAAGAUUUGUCUGUCUCUCCAUCUCUGCAUAUUCCCAUUCUCUCUAACAAUAUAUCAACGAUUCAUAUUUCUCAGAAUCCAGUAUUCUACGAAAGGACGAAUCAUGUGGAAUUAGACUGUCACUUUGUCCGGCAAUAGUACCUUUUCUAUCUAAUUUCACUCUGAUACGUUCCUUCCUCUCACAUCUGGCCGACCAUUUCACCACUCUCAGGACCAGCUCAUAACUCUUCUCUUUGCAAGUUGGGUGUACUUCCAUCCCUUCCAACUUGAGCGAAGAUGCGAGAUAAUUCCUUAUGGUUCAUCUCAGAAGAAGAAGAAUGAAGAAGAAAACUCAAAAAUUUUGGGGACUGAUGAAGAAGUAGAUGAAAACCUAAGUCGCGUAAAGAAGAGACAAGGUUCAGACCAUAAGUAUCACAAACUAAAAUACUUAUGAUCUGAUCGAUACAAACUAUGAAGGAUAAAUAGGCUGGAAUUUAUUUUGUCUUGUUUUAUAUGAAAUGGGCCUUCCAAUUUCA
This 5551-nucleotide long non-coding RNA is filed under the name Nicotiana benthamiana. RNAcentral's name for it is "long non-coding RNA (NBEN_LNC011393)". Lineage: Eukaryota; Viridiplantae; Streptophyta; Magnoliopsida; Solanales; Solanaceae. The record is from RNAcentral.